RNAcentral lists this ribosomal RNA (325 nucleotides) under uncultured Protaspa. RNAcentral describes it as "SSU rRNA". It matches the Rfam family "Eukaryotic small subunit ribosomal RNA", at positions 630 to 955 of the family's 1831-position model. Lineage: Eukaryota; Cercozoa; Thecofilosea; Cryomonadida. The record is from RNAcentral.
GAUUUCUGGUAGUCCGAUCUGGUCCGCUACCUUUAUGGGAGUGAGUUGCCGGAGUGUGCCUAUCAUCCUCACGGGAGUUUAAGCCUACCAUUUACUUGGCUGGGCUUAGAUUUUUGUGACAUUUACUUUGAAAAAAUUAGAGUGUUUAAAGCAGGCUUUUGCUAUUGAAUAGAUUAGCAUGGAAUAAUAAUAUAGGACUUCGUCCUUAUUUUGUUGGUUUCUAAGGAUGCAGUAAUGAUUGAUAGGGAUAGUUGGGGGUGCUCGUAUUGAGCGGCCAGAGGUGAAAUUCUUGGAUUCGCUCAAGACGAACUACUGCGAAAGCAUU